GGGCUCGCUGGGCGGUAUCCCACCCCUCUGUGAGGUUGUUGGGUGGGGAGGGCGGUGGGAAAAGUUUAGGAUUGACGGGACAUCUGAGGGAAAAGGGCGGUUUGAGGGCUCCGAGGACCCACGUAGAGCCCUUCUGAGAGACCAAAGAUAUAAAGAGGAGAUCUGGGCAGACCUUGAGAGCUAGAUACAGCUCUUAUCCCCAUUGCUCCCUGGAACGUAUUGUGUCCCUCUCAGAGACGUUUCCAUCCAUCCUCAGAGGCGGACAAAGCCAUUUUCUGAUUUAAAAGAAGACAAAUUUGGGGACAGAACUGCAGCCCAGCUGAUGACGUAUAGCCAGGACUUGGGCAAGAAAAGCCAGAGGGAGAAAGUUAGAAAGAGCUCUAACGUGGAGUUCCCAUUUUCAUUCAUUCUUUGGGGUAAGAGCAGCUUUCUCCAAAAAGGCACAUCCAUCCAAAGAGGCACUCAGGCACUGCUAGUCAGCAACUUUAUCCAGGAUGGCUCUGGAUAUAAGGAAAAGACAAAACAGAGAGAACAAUGACCGAAACCCUAAAAGACACGCUGGAAAAGUAUUGCUCAGAGCAGCAAGUACAUCAGUUUGGAUGUGGAGCACUGAUUUCGUUUUAUCACCCUGCUUAUUAGCUACACAGGAUUUGCUCUUAAAGAAAAAACAAAAUCAAAAUGAGCCUAGAGGAACCGUGAAAGAUAAGAGGAAGGAUGUUUUCUCAAGUUAUUUAUCAUCAUGAAAUGCUUGUAGUUCCAGAUCUCAGAUUCCCGAAGCUCUCAUCUUACUGCAACAGCAGACAUGAACUCGAGGAAUCACCACCCACCCAUGGCUCAGCUGGAGGAGGCUCCAGGGUGGGAUGGAUGAGAUCAGUUGUUGCUUACCCACACGCAACCAGGAUUCCAAGACCAGAUUGCUCUGAGUGUCCACUUCAAACGAAUGGAGAAGUCCCCAGAAUGAUCUCCAUGGACUUGGACUUGCACCUCUCCCUGAAAGGCUCUACCAGUGGAACUGAAUGAUGGCUGAAGGUGAUCCCAUGUUUCUAGAAGAGAACUGAUGAUGCUUUUGCAUAGAAACCCAUUUUUCCAGCCAUUUGUGCCUGCCCUGCCUGAUGUUUUGCCAGCUGGAUCAUGUGGCAGUGGGCAGCAUCCUCGACCCAUUGGGACAAGCAAAAUCCAGACCCAUCCGUGUGCAUGAACGGGUUUGCCAUGUCCACCCUUUCUCCUGCAGCUUCAGAGCACUGAGCAUUGUGUCCAUCUCUCAACAAGUGUUGAGUCCCACGUAAGGACUUGGCCCCGAUGCAACGAUCGUUGUCAGCUGCAAUUAACAGAGGUCAUCUCAUCUGUGCUGAGGCUGGUCAGCCAAGCAGAGCGCUGUGACAAGCUUUAAUUAGCUCCGCAAUGAUUUCCUGCCUGGGGAGAGUUGUUUGGUGGCUUAGUCGAUGUGUGUAACAUAAGUGGCUGGGUUGUCAUCGUGUGCUCGAGGGCAGCUCCCAAGUGCUCCCUGCUAACAAGAGCAGGAAGGGAUCUGUCUGAAACAAAUUAAGAUGGGGUUUUGGAAUUGCUUUCCUUCAAACUCAUGAUUCUGUGCUGUUCCCUUCCACAGUUGUGUUUGCUUUCACUUUCACAGUGCUUUUCUGAUGUAUGAACAGUCACAGCUUUGCACGCCCUAUUUCUGCCCAUUUCUCUCUCACACCCACACGGUCUUCAGUCUUUCCCUGUUUCAUUGCCCACAGAAGUCCUCAGUUCGUCUCCCUCACACAUUUGAACUCUUUCUGUGUCCCUCAGGAUGAAGUCUGCUAGCAGAAGCGCUCGCAGGCAAGUGAGUUAAUGAGAAAUGAACUCCCCUUUAGUUAAUACCCCUUGUGCAGGAGUGUGAUAGGGAGGCAGGCUGGGGUGACUAGCUGGGUACGGUGAUAGGUGGGCACAGAUGGCGGUGCAUGGAGAGGCACAGGACCAUGAGGCAAACCCAUAAAACACAUUCUGCUAUCGGUUGCAAUUGUGCUAGCAGUCAAUGAAAUAACUUUGGACAACGUCCCAGGUACAGCAAAGCCAUUCUUUAGGGUAAGUCCAACCCAAAUCCGGAAGGAAACUAGACAAUGUGAAUGAGCCAGUUCUAGGCUUACAGUUCAAUGGGCAGUUCUGGGUUGAAGCGGAGUUUUGCCCAGAAAUAACCCAAAAUGUGGUCCUGAGUAUAAUGAGGUGCUGUCAAGAAGAAAUGGAUGGAGGCAUCUGAGACUGGAAUAUGCAGGAGCAGAGGUGGAGAUCAGUUUGAGAGUGCUAGGUGUGAGAGGACUGUAAGAAAGGAGGUAGGAUUGUGGAGGCCACUGGAAUGGGAUUCAGCCUGAGACAUGGACACAGAAAUGGUCUUUAAUGACCACAAAGCAAUUCACAGCAUCCUAAAGCAGUCAUGUACAGCAGAUACAAUCACAGAAUCAUAGCUUAUCAUGAGUUGGAAGGAACCCCCAAGGAUCAUCGAGGCCAACCCCUGGCCCCACACAGCACCACCCAAACCCAAACUCGAUGGGAUGGAGUGACUCCCUGCCCACAUGGCAUGGAGAACCCAGGAGCCUUGAGCCUCUUAUUCUUGCUCCAAACCCUGCACCAAGCUCCUGCACUUCAGUUAAUCACACAGUUGUUGCCUCCCCUUUCUUCUCUGGACUCAGGAGAAGUCAUAUGUUGGACAAAGCUUUGGGCACAGUCUUUCUGGGUCUUCACUGAGCAGUUUAGCACUUUGGCAUCUAACAGCAGGGAUCUUCCCCGAGGAAGACCUCUGAACUUUGGUUGGCACGAAUGAAAGGGGAAAGCCAGCACACUCGCGUUCCCACUGGGCCGGAUCCUUGCCUCCAUCCGAUCUGCAGAACGGCAGCUCCUUAUCUCAUCAAACCCCAAUCUCCUUCGAAAGUAAAUAUGGCUUAGAUUUGUUUAACCUUUCCUUUCCAGUUCUUAACUGACUUCCUCCAGGCUUUAUUUAGAGCCACCAGUGGUUCCCACUGGGAUGUUGCCAGGCAGGGAAUUACUUUGUUUAGUUGGGGAUGUGAGGGGUCAAUGUGGCUGUCACCAAUUCAGACAAAGCUCAGUUCUUGGCCUGGCUGCUCGUAACAUCUGCCUGUAAUGGACUGGACUGGAUUUUUCUUUAGAAAUUCUGUGAGGCAAAAACAGGGCAACCUGGGGGAAAAUAAAUGGCAGAAGAGCAAGGAUCUAUCUGUUCUCAUACACCUUUAACAGCAGACUUUCUCAUAUCUCAAGGGUAUCUGGCACUCCAGUUUGUAAGUGACCCUGCCCUAUAUAUUUCUGUAGCAGGUAUUACUUCCAUCAGAGACUCAGCCUGCUGCCUGACUGCUAUAACUCACUUGUCUGGAUAAUAUUUUAAUGAAGAGAGGUGACAGAUGAUGCUGAAGUCUGUCUCCUUUGUCAGGUGAUCUGCCAAAGAACAAAACUUUGGUCUGACAAACUGUCAAAUGGCUCUCCUGCCAGAGAAUUGCAGUCCUGAUCAUUAAAACACAUGGCUGACAGCAUCUGCCCAUCACAUCAGUUUCAGAAGGAGACAAUCAUGCAGUGAGACUCUGCACAGCUUCGCUUUAGUUCCUAAUGACCUCACAUAUUUGCUGGCUAUCAACAAAACGAGAAAUAAGGGAGAAGAGAGAUGGGCUUGGUAGAUAUCUUUAUUUCCAUUCUCAUCCUUUCCAUUUGCCUUUGACCCACAAGGGAAAACCAGAUAGAGCAACAAAAGGUCUGAAAAUGAAGUGGAAUCAGAAGGAAAAUUGGAACAAUAUCCCCUUACACUUGCUUGGGAAGUAUGAGUGCUAGGAGCAGAGAUGGAAAACGUUGCAUCUCCGAACAGCCCGCAGUGGGACUUGUUUCACUUCUCCCUAUGCCCAGAGGUAAGCUGCUCACAGUGGCCUCUCUUAAUAGCCAGAAGAGGGAAAGAAGCACUGCUGCAAUGUGAUUCGUUCUGCCUCUUUCACAUCUUCACUCCUGGGUGAGUUGAGCUAUGCGCAGAAGGUCCGUUCCCCUCUGUUCAGUCUGGGCUGCUGGUUUGAAUGGAGAUGUCAGUAAGAGAUAAAAAACAGCACUAUGUUCUGCCCCUACAUUUUGCCCUGAGCAGUCCUAUCUCUGGUUUUGACUCAAUGUGCUCAGCUCUUUCACAGUUUAGAGACCCUCAGUAGUCCCAGAGCGGUGUCCUCCCAGACAAAUCAGGGUUUUGUAGUUAUGCAAGUGUCACUGAGGCCCAUUGGCUUCUGACAAUAGUUCAGGAUGGAAAAAAUCUCAGAGCCCAAGCUCAGUGCGGAGUGAGCAAUCAAAACCCAUCCAACCUAACCUAUCCAAAGAGGAAAAGCCAAGGAAAGGCAGACAUGAGAACGAUCACUUAGGAGGUAGGAAAUGAGUGUACAUAACAAAUGCCCCACUCCCUGGUAAGCUAUUAACGGUGCCAUUCUUCUGCAACACCACCCUUUGCUUGGGUAGCACUAAGCAAUCCUUCAUAGUUUCCCUCCUCUGGCCCAAGGAGAAUAAUGCAGCCUCCAAGGUCAAUGUAAUUACUUGCUCCUUCUCAUUAAAGAAAUUGCCAAAGUACCCAUUUAAAGUCACUAGUCUCCCCACCCCUUUCAUUGCAAUGAUUUAUGAGGAGGUUAUUUAUUCCCUCCUCUUUUCUCUUGAACACCUUUCUAAUUAGAAGCGGCACAUUGCAGUCCCUCAUUCUCCAGGGUGAAAUCCUAUUUACUGCCAAAGGGAAAGUAUGGCGAGCUGGCCAAUAUAAUGGGGAGCUAUUUGUUUUGAAGGAAUAAAAUCCAUUUUAUGGCUGGUGUCAGAGAAACAGCUCCAUCCACAAAGCCUCUGCUUGCAGAACGUGGGGCAGAGCAAAGAAACAGCCACGUAGUGAAGGUCUUAACAGACACUGGUUCAACUCUUGGCCACGUAGGUGAGGGGAUGACAAGAGUGAGCUACUGAAAGUCUUGGUUUCCCACUCAUUAAGAAGGCAAUAAUUCUAGCCCGUUAAUAUUGCUGGGAGUGGAGCGACUGUUUUCCUGGUUGUGAGGCUGCAUGUCUCCCUAGCAUCACAAAGACAGCAAUCACACUUGGACUCUGUCUGCUUCUGCCCAUCAAAACACAAAAUUUUUCCAGGCUAUGGCGAACACGCUGCAUUUGAAAUGGAAUUUGAAAAUGUCAGCCCUGCGUGACGAUGCUGGGAGCUGCCAGAAAUGACAAUGCCUUUUUUUGUUGCAGAUGUUUGGAAACUGCAACUAACGCCGUGAUGGUGCAAUUAACUGUGAUUUUUUUCUACUGGUCGUAAUGCUUUUCCUAAGGUCAUGACUAUACGCCGUCCCAGAACAGCUGCCAGCACUCAGCACACUUUGUAGCCAUGUUAUUAAUUAAAAUCUAACACAGUGUGCACCUUGCUAUUGCAUGCCAGCCCUCUGCUAACCAAGCCACACAACCACUUGGAUCCCUUUGUAGGUAUUCCCAGGAAAAUCUUAUGGGGAGAGGGAUAAAGAAGCAUCUUCUGGGUCCCGUGGAUCUUGCCUGGCACUGCAGUCGUGGUGUAACCAUCUGAAGAGCUGCACAUGCAGCUGAUCAGCUUAAUUUGCAAAGCAAUUUCCAAGCUGUUAGCCGUGUGUGCAGGUGAUGGAAGAAUGAACAGGGAACUUCAUGGUUUAGGGGACGGUGCUGUCCUCGAGUCAUUGCAGGCAUGUGCAGGAUGAAUGAUAGGGAAGAUGUAAUGAAAGAUGUAAUGACUGUAAUAAAAAGGAAGAGGUGCAUGCAAAGUGUCUGGGCAGAAAACUGGGAUAGAAGUGGUUCAUUUCUGGUCUCACGCCAGUUUUGAGCUCCUGUUCCAUGGAUACGAAAGGAGCCAUUUCUGAGAGCUUCCUGACUGUUAUCACAUAGAAGCUCAUGGUGUAAGUGUAGCCGCUAGAGUGAAUUCUUUUAAAUUUAAAAGAGUUAAUUAAAAUUAAAAGAGCUGCGUCUCUCCACUUGGUCUCAGCAGCCUGGCUUAGAAACCCAAGCCCCGCUAUUUCCUCUGAGUGUCUUUUUUUCUCCCUGCAGAUGAAGUCUGCAUUAAUGCACUCAUUGUGCAGAACCUUUCCAUCUCAGGCCCUUAUAAUUACAAGAUCGGACCAACAAAGUGUCUACUGGGAGUGAACAAGCAGGAACUUAUUCCUGAUGCUGCCUUGUGUUGUGGGAGGUGUUCUGGGUACAACAUGACCCUAGAGCCCUUUGCUUUCUGCCUGUUUCCCUAUCAGUAAAAGGAAGAUAAUGACACUAACCUUGGAGAACAUGGGGAGUCAAGCACUUUGCUUUUGUGGACUCUCUGGAUGUGCUGGGCUUCACAGCCUGCUUGAACAAACUUCAGUUGGGUCUUGUCCUGCAUCAGAAACAAAGCACCUAUGGCCAGAAGUAGGGGGUCAUUGACUUUCCAAGGACUUUCUUUCUGCAAACUCAGAAGGACCUUCAGAUGGGAGAUGGAGUCUGUGAUUGUCUCCUGGGUCUCCAUUGCAGCCCAGACCCAUGCUUUGCCGUUUCCUGAUAGAAUCAUUAAGUUGAAACAGACCAUUAAUACCUUCAAGUCCAACCCCAGCCCACCCCCACCAUGUCCACUGACCAUGUCCCUCAGUGGCACAUCUCCAUGGUUCUUGAACACCUCCAGAGAUGGUGACUCCACCACCUCCCUGGGCAGCCUGUGCCAAUGCAUCACUGCUCUUUCUGUGAAGAAGUUUUUUCUAAUAUCCAAUCUGAGCCUUCCCUGGCACAACUUAAGGCCAUUACUUCUUAUUUCAGGGCUGGUUCUCCCAGGUCAGAGGCAUGGAAAUUCCUCCUUACCUUAUCCCAGUUCACUGUGAAGUGGCAAUAACAUCUGGGUUUUUGUUUGGGGAAAUUUAGCUAUUUCUGCAUGCAGAAGGAUGUGUGGUGUAAGGCAGGGGACAUGAAACCCCACGAUGUGUUGACGUUCCCUCCAUCACCACCUAGUAUGUUGGGACAGAGGUUGUCCCCCCUGGACGUGUUUGUGCAGCAUGAUAAACACCCUGGAGGAUCAGCCAUGGUCCUCAAGCUUUGGACUCAGCUGAGGUCAGAGUACUUGUCCCCAUUCCAUGUCCUUGCUGGGGUGCGCGCUGUGCCUGCCUGCCCCAGCCUCAUGUGCAGACAGAAAUCAGUCUGGAUUGGAGUUCCCUGGAGCCAUGAGGCAUGUUUGGAUGCACAGGCAUGCUUGUUUGACACCGCCUCAGCUCCGUGCUAAUUAAAUCCAAAGGGUAAUCAUUAUUUCAUUGAGUUUCCUCCAGCGCUGUAAUUCUAUCUCAGUUGUGGCUGAAAGCUCUGAAUGAAGAGGCAGGUACAGGGCCAGUGCCUUAGGCUGAUUUUUUUUCUCUGUCCUUUUCUCCUUUUCUUUUCUCCUUUUCUUUUCUUCUUUAUCCAUUUCUCUUCUCC
Long non-coding RNA from Numida meleagris (helmeted guineafowl), 7422 nucleotides. RefSeq lists it as uncharacterized. NCBI's taxonomy places the organism in Eukaryota, Metazoa, Chordata, Aves, Galliformes, Numididae. The record is from RefSeq and is a predicted model, not a curated record. The transcript is spliced from 7 exons.